GAAUGGGAAUGGCAUGGAAAGGCCAGCCGCAGAGGGUGAAAGCCCCGUACUGGUAAACUGCUUACAUUGUGUGACUGAUCCCGAGUAGCACGGAACACGAGGAAUUCUGUGUGAAUCAGCGAGGACCAUAUCUCGUAAGGCUAAAUACUCUUACUAACCGAUAGCGCAUAGUACCGUGAGGGAAAGGUGAAAAGAACCCCGGGAGGGGAGUGAAAUAGAACCUGAAAUCAUGUGCUUACAAGCGGUCAGAGCCCUU
Molecule: non-coding RNA, 256 nt
Filed under: Cetobacterium ceti
Lineage: Bacteria; Fusobacteriati; Fusobacteriota; Fusobacteriia; Fusobacteriales; Fusobacteriaceae
Description: Bacterial large subunit ribosomal RNA
Rfam family: Bacterial large subunit ribosomal RNA
Source: Rfam by way of RNAcentral